GAUGAACGCUAGCGGCAGGCCUAACACAUGCAAGUCGAGGGAGAGGUUAUCUUCGGGUAACCAAAACCGGCGCACGGGUGCGUAACGCGUAUACAAUCUGCCUUUCACAUAGGGAUAGCCCGAAGAAAUUUGGAUUAAUACCUAAUGGUAUAUAAGAGCGGCAUCGUUUUUAUAUUAAAGCUACGGUGGUGAAAGAUGAGUAUGCGUUCUAUUAGCUAGUUGGAGAGGUAACGGCUCCCCAAGGCGACGAUAGAUAGGGGUUCUGAGAGGGAUGUCCCCCACACUGGUACUGAGAUACGGACCAGACUCCUACGGGAGGCAGCAGUGAGGAAUAUUGGACAAUGGUCGGAAGACUGAUCCAGCCAUGCCGCGUGCAGGAUGAAGGUCCUAUGGAUUGUAAACUGCUUUUGUAAGGGAAGAAUAAGGAGUACGUGUACUUUGAUGACGGUACCUUACGAAUAAGCAUCGGCUAACUCCGUGCCAGCAGCCGCGGUAAUACGGAGGAUGCGAGCGUUAUCCGGAAUCAUUGGGUUUAAAGGGUCCGUAGGCGGGCUGAUAAGUCAGAGGUGAAAGCGCUUAGCUCAACUAAGCAACUGCCUUUGAAACUGUCAGUCUUGAAUGAUUGUGAAGUAGUUGGAAUGUGUAGUGUAGCGGUGAAAUGCUUAGAUAUUACACAGAACACCGAUAGCGAAAGCAUAUUACUAACAAUUUAUUGACGCUGAUGGACGAAAGCGUGGGGAGCGAACAGG
This 749-nucleotide ribosomal RNA is filed under the name uncultured Capnocytophaga sp. Its description in RNAcentral is "bacterial SSU rRNA". It matches the Rfam family "Bacterial small subunit ribosomal RNA", at positions 28 to 776 of the family's 1533-position model. Lineage: Bacteria; Pseudomonadati; Bacteroidota; Flavobacteriia; Flavobacteriales; Flavobacteriaceae. The record is from RNAcentral.